RNAcentral lists this ribosomal RNA (292 nucleotides) under uncultured bacterium. Its description in RNAcentral is "partial 16S ribosomal RNA". It matches the Rfam family "Bacterial small subunit ribosomal RNA", at positions 505 to 796 of the family's 1533-position model. The record is from RNAcentral.
GUUUCAGCAGCCGCGGUAAGACGAAGGUGGCGAGCGUUGUUCGGAAUCACUGGGCAUAAAGCGCACGUAGGCGGCGGCGUAAGUCGGGUGUGAAAUCCCUCGGCCCAACCGAGGAACUGCGCCCGAUACUGCGUUGCUUGAGGAUCAGAGGGGUGCACGGAAUUUCCGGUGGAGCGGUGAAAUGCGUUGAUAUCGGAAGGAACGUCGGCGGCGAAAGCGGUGCACUGGCUGAUUUCUGACGCUGAGGUGCGAAAGCCAGGGGAGCAAACGGGAUUAGAAACCCGAGUAGUCC